GACGCCACGUCUGGUGAAAAUGCACUGUUAGUUUUCCCCGCCUACUCAGACAGCUCACCUAGUCUUAUCAGCUCCCCGUCUGUAAUGUUAACCAGCUAGCUAGUAGCAGAAAGUCACUGUGGCUAGCGAAGUAAAUGAAAAAAUAGACAUCUUGUACUGUAGCUAGCUCCGGUCUUGGCCGUAAUACCGGCUAAGGCAUAAUAAGAAAAGUAACGAAUAAUUGUUUAUAACUAACGAUAAAAUGGCGGAAAAGCCAGAGGCUGGAGACAGCGAAGACGAGGUUGAAGAUGUGUACGAAGUGGAGAGGAUUAUUGACAUGCGAACGGAGGAGGGGGAGGUCCUGUACCGGGUUCGCUGGAAGAACUACUCCUCUGAUGAUGACACGUGGGAGCCUGAGGCCCACCUGGAAGAUUGCAGGGAGGUGCUCCUGGGCUACAAGAGGGCUCUGGCAGAGGCUAAGAUCACGAAAGACCAAGAUGCUAAGAAAUGCAUGAAGUUGCCCAUGAAGAGUGAUGUGUUCGAUGCUGACUCUGACAGCGACAGUGAUAUUGACAAGCCCACAGACCUGCAUGUUAAGAAGAAGAAAAAGAAGAAGCCCAGAGAAGAGGAUGAGGAGGAGGCACCUCCCCUGAAGGAGAAGAGGAAAAAGAAGAAAGACAAGCGCAAGGAGGACUUCAGGCCUCGUCCGGCACCGGAGUCUGAUGAAGAGGAGCUUUCCCCUCCCCCAACCCCUGGCCGCGGAACCAAGAUGUCCGACUCCAAAAAGAGAUUUGUUGACUCUGAUGAAGAGGAAGAAGCCCCUGUGCCCUCCAAGAAGCACAGGAAGGACAAGACCAAGGAUGGAGGGAAGCACUGGAAAAAAGAGAAUGGGGAGGAAGGGAAGAAGAAAAAGAAGAAAAAGAAGGAUCGAAGGGGUGAUCUGGAGUCCACUGAAGAUGAGGCCACCGCCCCCCUGGAAGAGGAGCUUAGCGAGGGGCCAUCUGAGUCCCAGACGGAUGAUACCACCACAACGGAAAAGUCUCGCGCUGAUGACAAGCCCAAGAAUAAAAAGGGUAAGUCAGAACUGAAGCUGCAGGGCAUCAAGGACUUCCUUCAGGACAAGAAAGGCAAGAAACUGGAAACUUUGUCGCCAAUGCUCUCCGCAAGCGGCCUCGCAAAACUGAAGAGCCUCACUUCCUCCAAAAGCCAGGGCCGGGAUGAGCCCACACCAACCUCUGACUCCAGCGACACUCCUGCCCCAGCCCAAGUCCACAAGAAGGCCAAGGGCAAGAGCCACGAGACCACUCCUGCACCGCCUAAAAUUCCCUCUUCCUCAUCCUCGUCUUCCUCCUCCUCCUCUGGUGCAGGGGCAAGCACUAGCAAGACUGUGGAGGAGUCUAAAGUUGUAGUGGGUGGGGAUAAGGAGCCGACCGCCUCCACUAACCUGUUUGAGAAGUUCCUGCUGAACUGCGAGGCCAAGGACCGUGUUCCCCGCAAACAGAUGGUCCAUCAGCCCACCACCACAGAGAACACUAAACCACCAAAGCUCAUAGGGAAAAUUGAGAAAAGGACCAAGCCGACAAAGGAGUCACCUGCUCGGAAGCCAGAGCCAGAUAAGUCCAAACAUACAGACGCAUUUCGGCCCAGUCAGAGCCCCGGUGUUAUGGAGACUGGUGACAGGGCGGAGGCAGAGGAGGAACCCGCCCAGAAGUCAAAGUUCGGUGGAGAGGACCGGAGGGAGGAGGCUCAACGUUGGGAGAGGAGGACCCAAGAGGAUGACAGGAGGAGGAGGAGGAGAGAGGACAGCGAGCCACGGCUCUUCAUCGCCUGUGACGACAAUCAAGACCCCUUGGAGAGCGCUGACAAGUCUGGUACGCAGUUUGACAAAGGGCAAGCCUCUCUUAACCUUGGAAUGGACCUCAACUUGGACUGGAUGACACUGGAGGACUUUCAGAAACAUUUGAACGGAGAGGAUGAGAUUCUCUCUGCUCCACCUCUAUCUCCCAGUGAGCUGCGGGAUGCAGUGAAAAGUGGGGAUUACAUGUCUGUGAAACUUGCACUCAAUUCCAAAGAGGACUACAAUCUGGACCAGGAGGCAUACACUGUUGAACAGAAGAGUUUAAGUGGCAAAGAGAAGAGUUUAAAUGAGGAAGAGGAUAUUUUAAAUGAGGAAAAGAAGACUUUAUGUGAUGAGAAGAGAUUAAGUGAUGAAGAGAAGCCUUUAUGUGCAGCAGGGAAUCCUCGCAGCCUGGGGAAUCCUCACCGCAAAAGGAAUCCUCACCGCGAAAGGAAAUCUCUUUGCAAAGAUGAGAUUCCUCCAUGCGAAGAGAAUCAUUUACACAAGGAAGAGAAACAUUCUCUACACAAUAAAGAGAAGACUUCAUGCGAUGUGGAGAAGACUUUAUGUGACAUGGAGAGAGCUUUAUGUGACAUAAAGAAGGGUGCUGAGGAAAGCAGUUUGAGUGGUGACGAGAUUCAUGAAAACAGUUCAGGUGAUGAGGUAGAACGACAAAGACUUGAUUCAAAUGUUCCAAGUGGGUCAGAUCCUCUUCCAUCUAAUGCAGAAAGCUCAUGCGAGGAUGAAUAUGAGCAGUACCCUCCAAAAACGGCACAAGCUAAAAAAACUUGCCGCAAAAUAUUUGCGCCACGGAAAGGUACACGGUCAAGCUUACGUUCCAGCACAAAAAUGACAGUCAGCACAUGUAGUACGAUAGAUGAUGAUGAUAAGGGAAAAUUGGACAAAAAGUACUUCUGCCUUUAUUGCAAUGAACCACACCAUAACAUUGCAAGACAUUUAGAAAGGAUGCACGCAGAAGAAGCAGCUGUUGGUCAUGCUAUCAGCUUCCCAAAACUCUCCAAAAUCAGGUCUCUGUUGCUUGACCAACUCCGUAACAAAGGCAACGAUCAACACAACUUAGAAAUUCUUCAAUGUGGAGAUGAAGUUGUGACAAAGAAAAUACCUUCUUACAGUGGUGCUUCUGUGCGUGACUACCUACCCUGCCAACACUGUGUAGCCUUUUUUAACAAAAUAGAUUUAUGGAAGCAUGAGAGCUCAUGUAAUGCCAGAAAAGGACAAGAUGAAACGAGGGGAGGAAAAAGAGUGAGUAUCCAGGCUGCGUCCUCUCAACUUGCUCCAUUGCCUGUCUAUUCUACUGGAGGAUGUGAAGAAAUAAUACACAAUAUGAAUCAAGAUGACAUCUCAUGCCACAUCAAAAAUGAUCCCCUCAUAUGUAAAUAUGGCAAUGCACUAUCUGCAAAGCAUGGUCAUGCCAAGUCACAGUUUACCUACAUUGGUUCAAAAAUGAGGGAAUUGGCUAGAUUUGUACUUAAUGUAAAUGAGAUGGACUGUGAUGUCCAAUACUUGCAUGAAGUAUGUGUACCAUCCAAAUUCAAAUUGGCCGUUCAUGCUGCCAGGAAAAUGAGUGGUCAUGACCCUGCCUCCGACAGGUACAAGACCCCAUCUCUUGCUUUAAAGAUUGGCUAUUCCUUGAAAAGAGCUACCGAAAUAGCUUUUGGGGAGAGUCGUAUGACAGAGGACCGUGAGGCAGAGGAACAAGCCAAAAGGUUCAUUGAACUUCUUGAAAACGAUUGGAAUAACUGUUUUUCCGGUCUAUCCCUCAGCGCUGUCCCUAUGUGUGAUGAAGUUGAUGUGUCUUCACUAACUGAGGAUUUGAUCAAACUUCAGAAGUUUCUCAAGGUUGCAGAGGACACAGCGAAGAAAGAAUUGCUGGAAAACCCCACCAACACUGUCUGGAAAAAGCUCAAUGAAACUCUUCUUGCAGAAAUAGCUCUCUUCAACAGAAAAAGGACAGGGGAAGUUGCGAAAAUGCUGUUGGAAACAUACACAAACAGAAAGAAAGCUCCAGCUAGUGCAGACAUUUUCAAUAACCUCUCAAGGCUGGAGCAGGAGCUUGGUGACGACAAAUUAACCAGGUUGGAAAUAGAAGGCAAAAAUGGUAGGAAAAUGCCAGUCCUACUAACGGAGAGGAUGAUCUCAUCUCUUGAGAUCCUUAUUGCAAACAGAGACAAAGUUGGUGUGUCAAAGGACAACCCUUAUGUCUUUGCACGUAGCCUGGAUGCAGCAAGCUACAUCAGAGGGUUUGACUGUCUGAGGAAGUGUGCACAUGAGUGUGAUGCAAAGAAUCCUGAAAGUCUGAUCCAUGCGGCAGUGAGGAAAGAGGUUGCUAUCCAUUGCCAAAUAUUAAACUUGAAUGAAAGUGAAUUGGAUCGGGUGGCAAAGUUAUUGGGACAUGACACCCAGGUCCAUAAAGAGUACUACAGGCUCUCUGAAAAUGCAGCACAUCUAGCAGAAAUCAGCAAACUGCUGCUUGCAAUGGAUCAGGUUCCAGUGGUAAUUCCAGGGCCAUCUGAGGAAAGGGUUGUUUCUCCUACAUAUGGGACAUCUUCUGCAGGGACAUACCCAGCUGGAACAGAUACUGGAAGGACAUAUCCUACCGAGACAUGUCCUACUGGGUCAUCAUAUCCUACAGAGACAUAUUCAGCGAAGUCAUAUACUGUGGAGGCACAGCCUUCAAGGUCAUAUCAUGCUGGGACAUAUCCUGAGAAGUCAUAUCCUUCAGGAUUACAAUCUGUGAUGUCAUAUUCUGCGGGGACAGAUUCUGCGAGAGCAUAUCCUACCGUGACACAUCCUGCAGGGACCUAUCCAGCAGGUUCAUAUGUUGCAGGGACAUAUACUGCAGAGACACAUGAUGCAAGAUCAUAUCCUGCAAGUGCUUAUACUUCGGGGACGAAUCCUGUCAGGUCAUAUCCUGAAGGGACAUAUCCUGCGGGGAACCAUUUUGUGGGUACACAACUUGCUAGGUCAUAUCCUGCCGGAACAUAUCCUGCACAGACACUUCCUGAACAAACACUACCAGCGCAUACAGUUAUUACACCAACACUUCCAGCGCAUACAGUUAUUACACCAACACUUCAUGCCCAGACACUUCCAACGCAGACGCUUCCUGUUGUGGCAGUUCCUGAGGGGACAGGACUCCAGUGGUAUGUCCCUGAGUAUGUUGGCAGCAGCAGGGGGACAGGAUGACAUCCUGAGGCUCCUGAUAAAGAAGGGGGUGAAGGUGAACGGACGGCAGAAGAAUGGAACCACUGCCCUAAUGCACGCUGCAGAGAAGAACUUCCUGACCACAGUUGCUAUCCUCCUGGAGGCAGGGUCCUAUGUCAACGCUCCGACACUGGGAGGAGAGACGGCCCUGAUGAAGGCUUGUAAGAGAGGGAAUGCUGACGUGGUGCGCCUCCUACUGGAGUACGGGGCCGACUG
Molecule: RNA transcript, 5257 nt
Organism: Oncorhynchus tshawytscha (Chinook salmon)
Lineage: Eukaryota; Metazoa; Chordata; Actinopteri; Salmoniformes; Salmonidae
Gene name: M-phase phosphoprotein 8
Exons: 12
Source: RefSeq, a predicted model, not a curated record